GUAAUUCUAUUUCAAAUUAAUAAAAUAGACGACAUAAGAAAUCAGAAAAAUAAUAGAAAAAGGUAUUUGCGUAAACAUUCGAAAUUUACAAGUAUUGCUAUCAACCUAGCAAAAAUUUAGGCCUAUAAGCUAAUAGGUUUGCAACUUUGAUCCAUUCGUUGGAUAUAUAAAUUUUCGUUUGCACAAAAAAUACAAUUAUUACUUCACUGGAGUUACGCUAUAUACACAUUAUUAUCAGAAGACAAUUGUAGACCCUUUCUAUAAAAACAUCGGCCAAUCUAUCUUAUCUUUACAUAUAUAUUUCUUAUCAUAAUAGAUUCUAUUUCGAA
This 329-nucleotide long non-coding RNA is filed under the name Brassica napus (rape). RNAcentral's name for it is "long non-coding RNA (BNAP_LNC013740)". Lineage: Eukaryota; Viridiplantae; Streptophyta; Magnoliopsida; Brassicales; Brassicaceae. The record is from RNAcentral.